This 254-nucleotide ribosomal RNA is filed under the name uncultured bacterium. RNAcentral's name for it is "partial 16S ribosomal RNA". It matches the Rfam family "Bacterial small subunit ribosomal RNA", at positions 524 to 776 of the family's 1533-position model. The record is from RNAcentral.
GACGAACCGUCCUAACGUUAUUCGGAAUUACUGGGCUUAAAGCGCGUGUAGGCGGGACGGCACGUCUGUCGCUGAAAUCCCUCGGCUUAACCGAGGAACUGGCGGAGAUACGACCGUCCUGGAGGGGGGUAGGGGGACCUGGAACUUCCGGUGGAGCGGUGAAAUGCGUUGAGAUCGGAAGGAACGCCCGUGGCGAAAGCGAGGUCCUGGACCCUUUCUGACGCUGAGACGCGAAAGCCAGGGGAGCAAACGGG